This 72-nucleotide transfer RNA is filed under the name Gloeobacterales cyanobacterium ES-bin-313. It matches the Rfam family "tRNA". From Rfam's summary of the family: Transfer RNA (tRNA) molecules are approximately 80 nucleotides in length. Their secondary structure includes four short double-helical elements and three loops (D, anti-codon, and T loops). The record is from Rfam by way of RNAcentral. Lineage: Bacteria; Bacillati; Cyanobacteriota; Cyanophyceae; Gloeobacterales.
GGGUCGGUAGCUCAGCGGUAGAGCACUCGGCUUUUAACCGAUCAGUCGUGGGUUCGAUUCCCACCCGACCCA